AUUGUACAAUGUUCAAAUAUUUAUAGGAUUAAGAUGGGCAUGCGUGUCAUUAGCUAGUUGGCGGGGUAACGGCCCACCAAGGCGACGAUGACUAGGGGAUCUGAGAGGAUGACCCCCCACACUGGUACUGAGACACGGACCAGACUCCUACGGGAGGCAGCAGUAAGGAAUAUUGGUCAAUGGAGGCAACUCUGAACCAGCCAUGCCGCGUGCAGGAAGACAGCCCUCUGGGUCGUAAACUGCUUUUAUUCGGGAAUAAACCACAUUACGUGUAAUGUGCUGAAUGUACCGAAGGAAUAAGGAUCGGCUAACUCCGUGCCAGCAGCCGCGGUAAUACGGAGGAUCCAAGCGUUAUCCGGAUUUAUUGGGUUUAAAGGGUGCGUAGGCGGCUUAUUAAGUCAGGGGUGAAAGACGGUGGCUCAACCAUCGCAGUGCCUUUGAUACUGAUGAGCUUGAAUACACUAGAGGUAGGCGGAAUGUGACAAGUAGCGGUGAAAUGCAUAGAUAUGUCACAGAACACCGAUUGCGAAGGCAGCUUACUAUGGUGUGAUUGACGCUGAGGCACGAAAGCGUGGGGAUCAAACAGGAUUAGAUACCCUGGUAGUCCACGCCCUAAACGAUGAAUACUCGCUGUUAGCGAUAUACAGUUAGCGGCUAAGCGAAAGCGUUAAGUAUUCCACCUGGGGAGUACGCCCGCAAGGGUGAAACUCAAAGGAAUUGACGGGGGCCCGCACAAGCGGAGGAGCAUGUGGUUUAAUUCGAUGAUACGCGAGGAACCUUACCCGGGCUUGAAAGUUAGUGAAUCAUUUAGAGAUAGAUGAGUCCGCAAGGACACGAAACUAGGUGCUGCAUGGCUGUCGUCAGCUCGUGCCGUGAGGUGUUGGGUUAAGUCCCGCAACGAGCGCAACCCCUAUGUUUAGUUGCCAGCACGUUAUGGUGGGGACUCUAAACAGACUGCCUGUGCAAACAGAGAGGAAGGAGGGGACGACGUCAAGUCAUCAUGGCCCUUACGUCCGGGGCUACACACGUGCUACAAUGGAUGGUACAGAGGGCAGCAAGCUGGCAACAGCAAGCGAAUCUCAAAAAGCCAUUCACAGUUCGGAUAGAGGUCUGCAACUCGACCUCUUGAAGUUGGAUUCGCUAGUAAUCGCGUAUCAGCAAUGACGCGGUGAAUACGUUCCCGGGCCUUGUACACACCGCCCGUCAAGCCAUGGAAGUUGGGGGUACCUAAAGUAUGUAACCGUAAGGAGCGUCCUAGGGUAAAACCGAUAACUGGGGCUAAGUCGGAACAAGGUAGCCGUACCGGAAGGUGCGGCUG
Molecule: ribosomal RNA, 1318 nt
Filed under: metagenome
Description: bacterial SSU rRNA
Rfam family: Bacterial small subunit ribosomal RNA
Source: RNAcentral